CACCGCGGUUAUACGAGUGACUCAUAUUAACACACCCCGGCGUAAAGAGUGGUUUAAGAAUGACCUUAAACAACUAAAGUUAAGACCUCAUAAAGCUGUUAUACGCACCCAUGAGAGGAAUAAUCAACAACGAAAGUGACUUUAUAUAUCAAGGAGCCUUGAUGCCACGAUAGUUGGAACC
This 181-nucleotide ribosomal RNA is filed under the name Mustelus griseus. RNAcentral describes it as "partial 12S ribosomal RNA". Lineage: Eukaryota; Metazoa; Chordata; Chondrichthyes; Carcharhiniformes; Triakidae. The record is from RNAcentral.